Molecule: long non-coding RNA, 1067 nt
Filed under: Ananas comosus (pineapple)
Lineage: Eukaryota; Viridiplantae; Streptophyta; Magnoliopsida; Poales; Bromeliaceae
Description: long non-coding RNA (ACOM_LNC026330)
Source: RNAcentral
UAUAAUCUAAAAAGAGUGCUGCUAAUUUCUCAAUACUUAUUUAAACAUUUAGCAACUGACGAAACUUUGCCUCGUUGGCCGCAAUGGCGGAGGAGGACGAAAGGGAAGGGCUCUUCGUCUAGAAUUUCAGUGGAUUAAGUAAGGAGAGAAGGAGAGAUGGUAAUCGAUUUUUCUUUUUUUUUUUUCUUUUCUGUUUGUAAUCGGGCCGAAUGGGCUGGGUGGGGUGGAUAGAGUAGAGUAGCCUUUUAUUUUUGGUUGGAUUGGGCUUUUUAUUUUGGCAUUAGUAGAUUUUUUUAAAAAUUUUGGUAUAAAUGGGACACUUACACAAAAGUGUCCCAAACAUGUGUCGUUAUAACCUAAUUCUAUUGUAGUGGUUUAAGCAUUUUGGGCCGAUGGUUUGGCCCAACAAGUUAUUAUUGUUGGCGGGUUUGGUCGUUAAGUGCUGUGAGCCAUCUCUAGAAUCUCACAUCGAUUGGUAAUUCUGGUCUGUCUGCCUGUGAUCUGAUUGGACCCGAUGAGAACGUCAAGGUCUAAACAGGGAGAACUUGUAAUGCCCCAAUAUAUACAAAAUUUAUAUGACGUUGGGGUCUAAGUAUUUUGGGCCGAGUUAUUGUUGCUAGCAGGUCGGAUCGUUGCAAUAAAUACAAAAUUUAUAUGCUUUAACAUUAAAUUGUUUAAACAUUAUAAAACACAUCCAUAAAUUUAAGAAAAAACUUCAAAAACCCCCCUAUGGUUUCGUAGUUUCUCACUUUGCCCCCUUGUGGUUUAAAAUAUAUCAAUUUGCCCCAUGUGGUUUCUUUUUUCUCUUUUUCUUAUCAAUUUUAUUAUUUUUUUUCUUAAAUCAGUGAUAAAGUUAAAAUUAAAUGGUACUAAAGUGAAUAUUUGAUAAAUCUAGAUGGGUAUCUGAAGUUUUUUGUAUAUAAUUUAAUGAAAUAUUAACGAAAAAGCUACCGAAAAGAUAAAAACCAAACCAUAGGGGGGCAAAUUGAAACAUUUUAAAUCACAGAGGGGCAAAGUGAGAAACUACGAAACCAUAGGGGGGUGUUUUUGAAGUUUUCCCUAAAUUU